RNAcentral lists this ribosomal RNA (440 nucleotides) under uncultured bacterium. RNAcentral's name for it is "partial 16S ribosomal RNA". It matches the Rfam family "Bacterial small subunit ribosomal RNA", at positions 338 to 795 of the family's 1533-position model. The record is from RNAcentral.
CCUACGGGAGGCAGCAGUGGGGAAUAUUGCACAAUGGGGGAAACCCUGAUGCAGCGACGCCGCGUGAGUGAAGAAGUAUUUCGGUACGUAAAGCUCUAUCAGCAGGGAAGAACAUGACGGUACCUGACUAAGAAGCCCCGGCUAACUACGUGCCAGCAGCCGCGGUAAUACGUAGGGGGCAAGCGUUAUCCGGAUUUACUGGUGGUAAAGGGAGCGUAGACGGCAGCGCAAGUCUGGAGUGAAAUCCCAUGGCUUAACCAUGGAACUGCUUUGGAAACUGUGCAUCUAGAGUGCAGGAGAGGUAAGCGGAAUUCCUAGUGGAGGGGUGAAAUGCGUAGAUAUUUGGAGGAACACCAGUGGCGAAGGCGGCUUACUGGACUGUAACUGACGUUGAGGCUCGAAAGCGUGGGGAGCAAACAGGAUUAGAUACCCGAGUAGUC